GAAAAAUUAAUGGGAUUUCAGCCGAGACUUUGAACAAAUGCUUCUCUGCUUCUUGAUGCCGUACAUCUAAACAACAUUUUUUUCAGGCACAGAUUUUGCUUCUUUCAAUCGGAAAAACUUUAAAAUCUAAAACAAUUUCAUUUACUGUUUCCACCUCAAAUACAGAAUCAUCAUCCCAAAAAUAGAAACCCCAAAUAUAAAUAUACGUGUAUGUAGCAGGGCCAAUAUGCAAAAAGAAUGAACAGAAAUUUUGUUUAAUGUUUACUGAAACACUUGAACCUUUGAUGUCAUCUACAUCAAUCUUUGAACAGUGUUGAGCACUUUCCCUCUUCAGUUCAAGGGAAGGGAGGGGAAAGCAUGGACUUGAACCUAAUUGCCAGCAAGCAAUUAAACUUUUAAAAUGUACAUUUUUUUUUAUCAGUUCAAGUUCAUUACAAAACCAAAGAUGAACAAGAAGAUAAAUCAAAUAAAGCCGUUCCUACUAAAAAAAAAGUAAAAAGAAAAGAAAAGAAAAAGAGCAUCACGAAUUCUACCUCAGCUAUCAACUUCUACCAGAAGGAUUUGACAAUUAUGACUGUAUCACUUUAUUCUGCUUAACACAAGCAGGUGCCUUGAACUCCUGGCAUUUCCGCAUGGGUGCAACAUCAAUUGGCAUCAGAUUAUCAGCUGAAGGCUCCAUAGAAAACAAUGGCUUAUUGCGAGUUGUAGGAUUGCCCAUGUUCUUGUCAGUCAA
Molecule: unclassified non-coding RNA, 733 nt
Filed under: Hevea brasiliensis (rubber tree)
Lineage: Eukaryota; Viridiplantae; Streptophyta; Magnoliopsida; Malpighiales; Euphorbiaceae
Source: RNAcentral